RNAcentral lists this ribosomal RNA (253 nucleotides) under uncultured bacterium. Its description in RNAcentral is "partial 16S ribosomal RNA". It matches the Rfam family "Bacterial small subunit ribosomal RNA", at positions 524 to 776 of the family's 1533-position model. The record is from RNAcentral.
UACAGAGGGGGCAAGCGUUAUUCGGAAUUAUUGGGCGUAAAGGGCGCGUAGGCGGCUUCGCAAGUGGAAGGUGAAAUCCCACGGCUCAACCGUGGAACUGCCUCGGAUACUGGCGGCCUCGAGGGAGGUAGGGGCGUGCGGAACUGUGGGUGGAGCGGUGAAAUGCGUUGAUAUCCACAGGAACUCCGGUGGCGAAGGCGGCACGCUGGACCUCUUCUGACGCUGAGGCGCGAAAGCCAGGGGAGCAAACGGG